UAGUACCUAGGAAGGGAAUUCUGUCCUC
Molecule: non-coding RNA, 28 nt
Filed under: Rattus norvegicus (Norway rat)
Lineage: Eukaryota; Metazoa; Chordata; Mammalia; Rodentia; Muridae
Source: RNAcentral